This is a long non-coding RNA of Eurytemora carolleeae, 479 nucleotides long. RefSeq lists it as uncharacterized. The transcript is spliced from 3 exons. The record is from RefSeq and is a predicted model, not a curated record. Lineage: Eukaryota; Metazoa; Arthropoda; Copepoda; Calanoida; Temoridae.
AUUUUCAGAAUAAAAUACGUUCAUGAUUAUAUAAAGUUUGGGGGAUGUUAUUUAGUAGAAAGCAGGAGAUUUCUCUCCCUCUCUCUCUCCUACUCUCUCCCUCUCUCUCUUCCUCUAUCCUCUCUCUCCGGUUUUCUUCUCUCAGUACUCGGAUAGCUAUCGGAGCAAGAGGAUACAUUCAUCCUACUCCGGAAUUCACACAUCUCAGUACCUGGAGAGAAUUAAACCUAAACUUGUCAGUCCUCCACAGCAUAGAACUAAUUCAUAGCUAUGAAAGACAAAAGUGUGUUUCGUGAAUUUUCCGCUAAAAACUAAAAAAUCAAGUUGAAAUUAGCGCGCAAAAAUGGAUGACUCGUAUGCUUAUGACAUCGAAGAGGAGUUGGUUGCGGUAAUACCGAGCCAGCAAAACUGGAAGGGGAUUGGUAUCUCACUUGUUGUCAUCCUCUCUGUUAUCGGAUUAGUUGCCCUAACUGUAUUCU